RNAcentral lists this ribosomal RNA (1803 nucleotides) under Pinus taeda (loblolly pine). RNAcentral's name for it is "SSU rRNA". It matches the Rfam family "Eukaryotic small subunit ribosomal RNA". The record is from RNAcentral. Lineage: Eukaryota; Viridiplantae; Streptophyta; Pinopsida; Pinales; Pinaceae.
CCUGGUUGAUCCUGCCAGUAGUCGUAUGCUUGUCUCAAAGAUUAAGCCAUGCAUGUCUAAGUAUGAACUAAUUCAGACUGGGAAACUGCAAAUGGCUCAUUAAAUCAAUUAUUGUUUUUUUUAUGGUACCAUACUACUCGGAUAACCAUAGUAAUUCUAGAGCUAAUACGUGCACCAAGUUCAAGCUCUUUGGAAGGGAUGCAUUUUUUAGAUAAAAGGCUAGUGCGGGCUUGCCCGCUUCUCCGGUGAAUCAUGAUAACUCGACGGAUCACACAGCCCUUAUGCUGGCGAUGCUUCAUUCAAAUUUCUGCCCUAUCAACUUUCGAUGGUAGGAUAGAGGCCUACCAUGGUGGUGAUGGGUGAUGGAGAAUUAGGGUUUGAUUUUGGAGAGGGAGCCUGAGAAACAACUACCACAUCCAAGGAAGGCAACAGGCGUGCAAAUUUCCUAAUCUUGACAUGGGGAGGUAAUGACAAUAAAUAACAAUACUGGGCUCAUCGACCUUGGUAAUUGGAAUGAGUACAAUCUAAAUCCCUUAACGAGGAUCAAUUGGAGGGAAAGUCUGGUGCCAGAAACCAUGGUAAUUCCAGCUCCAAUAGCGUAUAUUUAAUUUGUUGCAGUUAAAAAUCUCGUAGUUGGAUCUUGGGUCGUAAAGGUAAGUCCGCCUACUCGGUGUGCACCCGCCCUUCCGUCCCUUUUGUCAGUGGCAUGCUCCUGGCCUUAAUUGGCUGGGUCGUGACUCUGACGCUAUUACUUUGAAAAAAUUAGAGUGCUCAAAGCAAGCUUAUGCUCUGAAUACAUUAACAUGGAAUAACGUGAUAUGAGUCUGGUUCUAUUGUGUUGGCCUUCAGGAUCAGAGUAAUGAUUAAUAGGGACUGUCGGGGGCAUUCAUAUUUCAUUGUCAGAGGUGAAAUUCUUGGAUUUAUGAAAGUUGGACCACUGUGAAAGAAUUUGCCAAGGAUGUUUUCAUUAAUAAAGAACAAAAUUUGGGGGCUCGAAGACGAUCAGAUACCAUCCUAGUCUCAACCAUAAACGAUGCUCACCAGGGAUCGGCGGAUGUUGCUCUAAGGACUUUGCGAGCACCUUCUGAGAAAUUAGAGUGUUUGGGUUCCAAGGGGAGUAUGGUCACAAGGCUGAAACUUAAAGGAAUUGAAGGAAGGGUACCAAUAGGAGUGGAGCCUGUGGCUUAAUUUGACUCAACACGAGGAAACUUACCAGGUCCAGACAUAGUAAGGAUUGACAUAUUGAGAGCUCUUUCUUGAUUCUAUGGGUGGUGGUGCAUGGUCCUUCUUAGUUGGUGGAGCGAUUUGUUUGGUUAAUUCCAAUAAAAAACAAGACCUCAGCCUACUAACUAACUACAUGGAGGUUCCCCUUCACGGCUAGCUUCUUAUAGGGACUAUGGAUAUUUAGGCCAUGGAAGUUUGAGGCAAUAAUAGGUCUGUGAUGCCCUUAGAUGUUUUUGGCUGCACGCGCGCUACACUGAUGCAGCCAACGAGCUUUUCUUUCUGGUUCGAGAGGAUCAGGAAAUCUUCUGAAAUUGCAUCAUGAUGGGGAUAAACCAUUGCAAUUAUUGGUCUUCAUUGAGGAAUUCCUAGUAAGCGCGUGUCACCAACUAGUGUUGACUAUGUCCCUUCCCUUUGUACACACCACCCAUCGCUCCUACCAAUUGAAUGAUCUCGUGAAGUGUUCGAAUUGUGUUGAUGAUGGUGGUUCGCUACUAUCAAUGUCAUGAGAAGUUCAUUGAACCUUAUCAUUUAGAGGAAGGAGAAGUCGUAACAAGGUUACUGUAGGUGAACCUACGGUAG